This 612-nucleotide ribosomal RNA is filed under the name uncultured bacterium. RNAcentral describes it as "bacterial SSU rRNA". It matches the Rfam family "Bacterial small subunit ribosomal RNA", at positions 338 to 961 of the family's 1533-position model. The record is from RNAcentral.
CCUACGGGAGGCAGCAGUAAGGAAUAUUGGUCAAUGGGCGCAAGCCUGAACCAGCCAUGCCGCGUGCAGGAAGACGGCCCUAUGGGUUGUAAACUGCUUUUGAACAAGAGAAAACCUCGGUACGUGUACCGAGCUGAUAGUAUUGUUAGAAUAAGCAUCGGCUAACUUCGUGCCAGCAGCCGCGGUAAGACGAAGGAUGCAAGCGUUAUCCGGAUUCAUUGGGUUUAAAGGGUGCGUAGGCGGCCUGAUAAGUCAGUGGUGAAAUCUCUCAGCUUAACUGAGAAACUGCCAUUGAUACUGUCGGGCUUGAGUACAGAUGAUGUGGGCGGAAUAUGACAUGUAGUGGUGAAAUACUUAGAUAUGUCAUAGAACACCGAUUGCGAAGGCAGCUCACAAAACUGUAAACUGACGCUGAGGCACGAAAGUGCGGGGAUCAAACAGGAUUAGAUACCCUGGUAGUCCGCACCGUAAACGAUGAUUACUCGUUGUUGGCAAUAUGACCGUCAGCGACCAAGCGAAAGCGAAUAAGUAAUUCACCUGGGGAGUUACGCCGGCACGGUUGAACUUAAGUUGAAUUGAGCGNGAGAGNGCGAGGACGACGACGAGGAGAGG